UGACGCAGUACCCCACAAUUGGAUGCCA
RNAcentral lists this small RNA (28 nucleotides) under Bombyx mori (domestic silkworm). Its description in RNAcentral is "ovarian small RNA-31740". The record is from RNAcentral. Lineage: Eukaryota; Metazoa; Arthropoda; Insecta; Lepidoptera; Bombycidae.